GGUGAGGGUUUGAGCCAUGGAGAGAAGUUGUUGUCAUGGUUUAUGCUAAUUGUGGCAAUAAUAGUUAGCAUUGUCGGCGUAAUUGGAAAUAUUUAUAGUCUCAAAAGCCAAUCCAAAUGAUAUUCAUCAUAGUUGAUGUGUUGGUAGUUUCUAUGAAGAAAGAUUGGCCAAUUUCCUCCAAAGUCAAGUGGGUGAUACCUUCUCUCUGGGGCCUAAUAAUUUUCAAACAAUCAAGUCAUAUUAGGAAAUGGAUGCAACCUAGGCAAAAUAUUGUUUCAGAUUGCAAGUGUCCUGAUGUUUGAGAUAUUGUGACUUCUCAGAGCAACUAUGACAUACUGGUUCAGCAUUUGAAGAAUGUUUAGGUAAAAUACUUUAUAUGGACACCCACAAUAUGCCAGUUGGUGUCCAUAUAAAGUAUUUUACCUAAAC
This 429-nucleotide unclassified non-coding RNA is filed under the name Hevea brasiliensis (rubber tree). Lineage: Eukaryota; Viridiplantae; Streptophyta; Magnoliopsida; Malpighiales; Euphorbiaceae. The record is from RNAcentral.